UUGCAUUUUGUCUCUCUUUUUUUGCGUCGAGCGCUUAUUAGUUUCAAUUUGCUUGCGGCGAAAGUUGUUCGCCAACAAGUCGAACAAAUUAAAUAAUUUAACGCAAAGAAAGUUGCUCAAAUGGGCAAAAACAAGGGUGGAGGCGGUGGUGGAGGCGGCGGCGGUGGCGGUGGCACUUCCGGUGGUGGCGGCGGCGGCAAUGUAAGCAAUAUUUGUGUUAUGCAACUAACGUUUUAAUUAAAAAAGGCGGUGGAGGCGGAGGCGGUGGCGGAGGCGGCGGUAAAAACAAACCACCAAUUCCUGCGGCUGAUAAAGGUGGCAAGAAAG
This 327-nucleotide unclassified non-coding RNA is filed under the name Drosophila mojavensis. RNAcentral's name for it is "GI10275". Lineage: Eukaryota; Metazoa; Arthropoda; Insecta; Diptera; Drosophilidae. The record is from RNAcentral.